CCUACGGGAGGCAGCAGUCAGGAAUAUUGCGCAAUGGAGGAAACUCUGACGCAGUGAUGCCGCGUGCAUGAAGAAGGUUUUCGGAUUGUAAACCGCUUUCGACAGUGACGAUAAUAGACAGUACCUGUAGAAUAAGCUCCGCCUAACUACGUGCCAGCAGCCGCGGUAAUACGUAGGGAGCAAGCGUUAUCCGGAUUUAUUGGGUGUAAAGGAUGCGUAGACGGAGAAGCAAGUUAGUUGUGACAUCCCUGGGCUUAACUGAGGAACUGCAACUAAAACUACUUACCUUGAGUACUGGAGAGGAUAGUGGAAUUCCUAGUGUAGAGGUGAAAUGCGUAGAUAUUAGGAGGAACACCAGUGGCGAAGGCGACUAUCUGGACAGUAACUGACGUUGAGGCACGAAAGUAUGGGGAGCAAACAGGAUUAGAUACCCUAGUAGUC
This 441-nucleotide ribosomal RNA is filed under the name uncultured bacterium. RNAcentral's name for it is "partial 16S ribosomal RNA". It matches the Rfam family "Bacterial small subunit ribosomal RNA", at positions 338 to 795 of the family's 1533-position model. The record is from RNAcentral.